This 67-nucleotide transfer RNA is filed under the name Gibbosula crassa. Its description in RNAcentral is "tRNA-Thr". Lineage: Eukaryota; Metazoa; Mollusca; Bivalvia; Unionida; Margaritiferidae. The record is from RNAcentral.
GCCACGAGAAGCUAACAAGCAUUGGUCUUGUAAAUCAAAGAUAAGAAUCCCAAAUUUCUCCGUGGCA